AUUGAACGCUGGCGGCAGGCCUAACACAUGCAAGUCGCACGAGUGGCGGACGGGUGAGUAAUGUCUGGGAAACUGCCUGAUGGAGGGGGAUAACUACUGGAAACGGUAGCUAAUACCGCAUACCAUCAGAUGUGCCCAGUUGGGUUGAGCUAGUUGGUGGGGUAACGGCUCACCAAGGCGACGAUCCCUAGCUGGUCUGGGAGGAUGAUCGGCCACACGUGAACUGAGACACGGUCCAGACGCCUACGGGAGGCAGCAGUGGGGAAUAUUGGACAAUGGGCGCAAGCCUGAUGGAGCCAUGCCGCGUGUAUGAAGAAGGCCUUCGGGUUGUAAAGUACUUUCAGCGGGGAGGCGUGACCCGCAGAAGAAGCACCGGCUAACUCCGUGCCAGCAGCCGCUGUAAUAC
Molecule: ribosomal RNA, 406 nt
Filed under: uncultured bacterium
Lineage: Bacteria
Description: partial 16S ribosomal RNA
Rfam family: Bacterial small subunit ribosomal RNA
Source: RNAcentral